Molecule: long non-coding RNA, 312 nt
Organism: Passer domesticus (house sparrow)
Lineage: Eukaryota; Metazoa; Chordata; Aves; Passeriformes; Passeridae
Exons: 4
Source: RefSeq, a predicted model, not a curated record
AAAGUUACAUUAAUACUGAAAAAUCUGAUUAUGGGAAAUAGAGUCCAAGACUGUCAGCACUUCAAGUCGCUCUGAAAUUCCAUCAUAGUCUUGAAAAGAGAUACCAAAUAAGAAACUUUCCAUUGUGGCAGGCAAAUGAAGUAAAGGAUCUAAACAAUCAAAUAGGCAAAGGAUAUAAGGGAUUCCAGAUUUACAAUGGAACAAAAUGGUGGCAAGCCCAGCUUUGGAACAUGCAGGUGUAUCUGUAUGAUCUGGAUUUUUAUGGGGAGCUGCAGACAUUUAAAAACAGUGAAAAUCAUACAUAAACACAAC